This 646-nucleotide long non-coding RNA is filed under the name Homo sapiens (human). Its description in RNAcentral is "non-protein coding lnc-NFYA-1:19". The record is from RNAcentral. Lineage: Eukaryota; Metazoa; Chordata; Mammalia; Primates; Hominidae.
UACAGCUCCCUCCAGCCCUUCUGAGUCUAAAACACAUUCCAAUUCCUCUGUUUUCCAGGCUUAUUUUGCCAUCAGUAACUCCUUCCUGUUCCCCCAGCCAUGAGUGAAUAUGCUGAAUGAGGACCUUUUACUGUAAGGAGUUCUUCUCUCAAUGUGUGACCUGCCCUGUCUAUCACCAGUGGGUAUCUGAGCUUAAGGCCUCUGUAAUGAGAUGUGAAAAGAGAGAAUUGAUGUCCCUGACUAACAGCAUCAGACCUUUUGACACCUGCUUGACCAGGAUUUGGAUAAAAGGAGAAUUUCUGCAGGAAAAUAACUCUUAGAAAAGAAACUUAGGAAUACAGAGUAAGCAUUUCUUCCUGGAAGCCUUGUGUGAGAGACAUAAAGACAGUCUCAGAUUCUUACUCACAAGCAGUCAAAGGCUGCACCUCUGAAAUAAAAAGGGACACACAGAUGUAAGGAGUUAGUCCUUGCUCCAGAGGAUUUGACAGAGUGGCUGAUGUCAAGGAGAACAAGGAUGCAGAAGAAACUCAAGAUGUAUGUAUUAAAACAAAAGAACAAUAACCUGAAGGGACCAUGAUUCUGUUAUUGUAUAUAACACAAGGAAAUGCCCCAGAUUCUCCUUUAAAAGAUAUAAUGUACAUAUUAA